Molecule: long non-coding RNA, 402 nt
Filed under: Carica papaya (papaya)
Lineage: Eukaryota; Viridiplantae; Streptophyta; Magnoliopsida; Brassicales; Caricaceae
Description: long non-coding RNA (CPAP_LNC004383)
Source: RNAcentral
UGUACAAAAUUAUUUACAUGUUAAUCAGGAUAUCAACAAGAUUUCAAAAGUUUUCCAUCGAAUAAAGACGAGUGACCCAAAAGCAAAACAUUCGAGGUCUGAAAGCAUCUAUCUUUAACCCUACCAAAAUCAUCUUUCAUCCCUAUGGAACUCCUCCUGUUUCUUUCUUUUUACACCACCAAAAAUAUAGCAAGGAAGAUGAGAUUCACAUAAUCCUUCCCACUGCUAAUACCCUUUGAGAUCCAAAUCUUAUCUCUAACUGAACCAACCAUCACUCAACUAUUCUCUAGUAAUUUGUAUGCCAUGAUUCAUAACUUAUAUGUCAGCAGACACUAAAGUAAGAUGUUCCUCCCUCUGGUAUAGAAAACAACCAUUCACCAUAAGUUUCCCUUCUUUUUAACU